RNAcentral lists this long non-coding RNA (608 nucleotides) under Mytilus galloprovincialis (Mediterranean mussel). The record is from RNAcentral. Lineage: Eukaryota; Metazoa; Mollusca; Bivalvia; Mytilida; Mytilidae.
UUAGUCUGCUUCCCGGCCGUUAUUGAAAUUCUUGACAAUACCGUCCGGUAUGGGCUAAUUUUACUAUUUCAAACAGCCGAUUUCCGAGCAUGCGCAUUCACCCUGGUCGUUCAAAUUCUUCGCUUCAAAGAUGUGAGAGCAGGACAUAAAGCACUGAAACUGUUGACUGAAGUAAUUUUGUGUUGCCCAAAUUGAAAAUAAGAAACUUAUAUAUCAUCUGAACGAUAUUAUUCAGUUUUUAAAAAUGCAAAUCCUAUAUUCUCAAAUGGGCAAGCUUUUGAAGUGGCCAAUUUGUCCAUUGUUUAUGUUUUACUCGCAACACCAGCUUCAAUUACACUGAUAGGAGACGAAACAAACAAUGUAAACCAUAAAUUAUCUUAAUUUUCACUGUAUUUUCACUGUAUACAGAUUUCUUCAUGAAAAGAAGUGUUUAAAUAGAUACUUAAAGGAAAAAAGAGCUGAAAAACAUUUUUUAAUCGUUCUGAUAUCGCGAGUCUUGACCAGUUUUUCAGAAUUUCUUGCAAUCACCUUCAACCCACUAUUUUAUUUUGUAUUUUUAAUGGUGUGAAUAAGGGUGAGGAUUGGCCUUGUAGAAUUAUGUCCCCAGA